Molecule: non-coding RNA, 2949 nt
Organism: Anas platyrhynchos (mallard)
Lineage: Eukaryota; Metazoa; Chordata; Aves; Anseriformes; Anatidae
Source: RefSeq, a predicted model, not a curated record
UCUCCUCUCUGCAUGCAGACUGGUGUGCUGAGCUCCUGCAGGACACGCAGAGGACACGGGAAGGAAUCUGCAGAGGUUGGCACUGGUGUCUGAACAGCUACAAGCGUCUGCGCCUCUCCUCACACAUGCUGGGCACGUGCUGCUGCUUCCCCACUCCUCCAGGACUGCCGGUCAUGCUGCAAAACACAGGUCUGAUGAGUACAGCACUAAAAUCCAGCAGGACUGUUAAGAACAAAUCUAAAAGAACAAAAAAAAAAAAAGAAAGAAAGAUGAGUAAUCAAAGUGAAAUGUGGCCCCCGCUCAAAGUAAAACACAAAGUGCAAGGCGUUCCCAGGGGCAAACCCGAGAGCAGCCAGCUGGCUGCCAGCGUGGAUUGCGGAGUCCUCCAGGGCUCAGGGUUUCAGCCGCCGGUGCCUCUGAGGAUACCAACAUGGUCUGCAGAGGCUCAGUGUUGCAACGAGCGUGCCUCUGCCUGGUAAAUCAAUGAUAGGGGAGCAAUUCCUGAGUGCCACGCAGGGGGCCUAGCGGCUAGGGCACUGCGUGCUUUGAGGCAGAAGUCCCAGGCGUAGCAUCACUUCUCUUCUUCCGUCCUUUCUUCCUUCCUUCCCUGGCUCUCCCUUUCUCCCGCCUCCCCUCAGACAUUUAAAAAGCUCCUCGUGUCUUAGUUACCAGAAUUAAAAAAGUGCAACUUAAGGAAAUUCCUCUGCCUUGUCAGCACUGGAGGUUUGCUCAAUUUCUCCUGCGAGACCCGAGUCAUCGGUGCAGCUGCCAGUGCACAAAUCCCGGCUGUACGUGAGCAAAGCUGUUUGCCUGAGCUUGCACGGCGUGGUUUGCUGUGGUGCUGUGAGCCUUGGCUUCACGUGGGAGAAAGCAGCUCUGCAAGAGGCAGCUCUGAGAGGGUUUGGAGGUACAGGAGCCCAACAGGAUCCUGAACUGGCACAGCUGCUCCGUGUAUCCUCAAGGAUAACAAGCCACAGAUGAAUCUCUUCCUCCAGGCAGACGAGGUCUUACCCCCCUGCCAGCCGAAACCACCAGCUCAGCGGGUGAAAAUCAGGCCAGUGGCACCGACGGGCUCUGAGAAGUUGCAGUCGCCGAGUUCCUGCGCAUCAGCCAAGCCGCUGGAGCUCCUGGCAUGAGCCUGAGCCAGCUGUGGUGUGCUGGGACCCAGCUCCAGCCUCAGCGAGCUGGGGACGAUCUCGUGUGCUUCAGUUCGCCAUCAGGGCGAGCCCAGAGGAAGCCCGGACACGCAGGACAGCCCAGACGACGGGCAGGAAUUUGUUCCGAGCUUUUUGGCCAGGAAAAGAAAACGCAGCAUGGCAGGCAGAGCUCGUCUGAACCCCCACAGCCCUUCUUCUCCCAGCUCCCCAGCCUAUUCCGAGGCGAAAUUAAUUCCAAAGAAUUGCCCCCUGGGUUCUUCCAGAUGCUGUGAAACACUCGUACCUUGGGGGGAGAGCAGUUUGCUUUUUUUUUUUUUUUUUUUUAAUGGACAGUCAUAACAUGGGCUCUCCCCUGAAGAAAAGACAAGGAGGAGCUCUUUAUGGAGCUCUUCAUUUCCUGGCAGUGUCUCGAGGUGUUCUCGUCUCCCUCUGCUUAUUGUCUCCUUCCUUUUAUUGAGCCGUGAGUUCUUCGCAGCAGCAGCCAUCCUUCAGCUUCUUUGCACGGUGCCAAACAAGCGGAUAUUGCCCGUGAUGGAAAAACAGCAUUUCAGGUGAGCUCUAGAAAAUCGUAGGCUGGUUUGAGAUGCAGCUGCAGGUCCCACGUGGCACCAAAGCCACCGCAGCGGGCGGCGUCAGGCCCAAAACUCAUCCAGAAACCUGAGCUGACUGCCUGCGACCUUGCUGCCUUGCAGGAACAGAGAGAAAUAAACCUAAAGAACGGGAAAACAACCAAGCAACCAAAAAGCUACAUCAAAGAAAUGCACAAAGGGCUUGGGGAUUGCCCUCGAGUGCCCCUCACAACUCGUGGGCUUUCAGUCCCGCUCUCCUUGUCCGUCUGGAGGCUUCCACAUGGGAACACCCAAAGUGGUUUUUUUUUGGGUUCUCUGGUGCAGCUUUUGCACAACUGGACAGGACCAGUCGCUCAGAGAAUUACUGCCAGAGCUGACCCUUAUUUUCACCCAAAGAUACAAACCAGCUAAGUGAGACCACCAGUUUCUCCCCCUUUUCCCAUCUUUUUUUUUUUUUUCUUGUCCCAAGUAAAUAUUUUAAGGUAACGCACAUCGGCACCGAUACUGCAAGGCGACACGGAUGGGAAGGAGUUAGUCACAACGCUCACAGUUCAGCGUUUUUGCACUGGAAACACGUAGUCAGAGCUUUCAUUUUACACUACUCGAAGUGCAACAAGGCAUUGAACAGCCCCAAAACGCCGUCAGGACUUGAAAUUAUUAAAAAUAGCCGAGUUUGGAGCCACUGCCAACGCAGCAACCGAAAAAAGGGAUCAACGUGUGGGAGUGAAGCCAGGUCCUGUGGGGACAACGGGGUCCCAAACACCCCCGGCCACGGCACAGUGGCUGGAGCAGGACACCGCAGGUAGCUGGGGAGGUGAGGGAGGCUGGUGGGAGGCUCCUGGAGCCUCCUGGGGCUGCCAGAGAGAUUUGGGGCUCAACAAGACCCACCUCAGGCACUGCCUGAGGAAAACACAUUUUUAAACCAGCCCUGAGGUCACCCAGCGUGAUGUCCAGUUGACAGGGGCUUCAGCAGGGAGGCUCCUGCUCGCCCCUACUCCUCCCACCCCAAAUAUUUUCAGCGUGGUAAUAAAGAGCAUCUGCCUUAAGGAGAAAAGCCACGGGAACGUCCCUGUGGAUAGGGCAGGAUAGUUAGCAGCACGCUGCUGCCCUGACCCCAACGUGAAGCUGCCCUGGUGCUGGCUCUCCAGCCAAGCCACUCCUCCACUUGUAUCGCCUCCGAGGCAUCAAUGAAAUUCGGUUUUGUGGAACACGAAAAAAAAAAA